RNAcentral lists this ribosomal RNA (253 nucleotides) under uncultured bacterium. RNAcentral's name for it is "partial 16S ribosomal RNA". It matches the Rfam family "Bacterial small subunit ribosomal RNA", at positions 524 to 776 of the family's 1533-position model. The record is from RNAcentral.
UACGUAGGGUGCGAGCGUUAAUCGGAAUUACUGGGCGUAAAGCGUGCGCAGGCGGUUCUCCAAGUCCGUUGUGAAAGCCCCGGGCUCAACCUGGGAAUGGCAUUGGAAACUGGCGGGCUUGAGUGCGGCAGAGGGGGGUGGAAUUCCGCGUGUAGCAGUGAAAUGCGUAGAGAUGCGGAGGAACACCGAUGGCGAAGGCAGCCCCCUGGGUCGACACUGACGCUCAGGCACGAAAGCGUGGGGAGCAAACAGG